RNAcentral lists this unclassified non-coding RNA (243 nucleotides) under plant metagenome. Its description in RNAcentral is "partial contains small subunit ribosomal RNA, internal transcribed spacer 1, and 5.8S ribosomal RNA". The stretch from base 1 to 52 matches the Rfam family "Eukaryotic small subunit ribosomal RNA", at positions 1780 to 1831 of the family's 1831-position model. The record is from RNAcentral.
GAGUAAAAGUCGUAACAAGGUUUCCGUAGGUGAACCUGCGGAAGGAUCAUUAAAGAGAAUAUGCCCUUCGGGGUAGAUCUCCCACCCUUUGUUUAUAUUACCUUUGUUGCUUUGGCAGGCCCGUCUUCGGACCACCGGCUUCGGCUGGUCAGUGCUUGCCAGAGGACCCAAAACUCUUAUUAUUAAUGUCGUCUGAGUACCAUAUAAUAGUUAAAACUUUCAACAACGGAUCUCUUGGUUCUG